Molecule: ribosomal RNA, 298 nt
Filed under: Pelusios sp. HBS-1996
Lineage: Eukaryota; Metazoa; Chordata; Testudines; Pelomedusidae
Description: partial 12S ribosomal RNA
Rfam family: Bacterial small subunit ribosomal RNA
Source: RNAcentral
AGAGAACUACUAGCUUGUAGCUUAAAACUCAAAGGACUUGGCGGUGUCCACACCCUACUAGAGGAGCCUGUUCUAUAAGCGAUAAUCCACGAUAAACCUUACCACCCUUUGCCAUAUCAGCCUAUAUACCGCCGUCUCCAGCUUACCUUAUGAGAGCUAAAAAGUAAGCAAAAUAGCCCUCUACAGCUAGAAAGUCAGGUCCAGGUGUAGCCAAUAGAGUGGAUGUAAUGGGCUACAUUUUCUAAAAUAGAAAUAUUCACGAACAGACCCUUGAAACAGGGACUAAGAAGCAGGAUUU